This 445-nucleotide ribosomal RNA is filed under the name uncultured bacterium. RNAcentral's name for it is "partial 16S ribosomal RNA". It matches the Rfam family "Bacterial small subunit ribosomal RNA", at positions 354 to 796 of the family's 1533-position model. The record is from RNAcentral.
GUGAGGAAUAUUGCGCAAUGGAGGCAACUCUGACGCAGCCAUGCCGCGUGCAGGAAGAAGGCGCUACGCGUUGUAAACUGCUUUUAACCGGGAAGAAACCCCAGGACGUGUCCUGGGUUGACGGUACCGGAGGAAUAAGCACCGGCUAACUUCGUGCCAGCAGCCGCGGUAAUACGAAGGGUGCAAGCGUUAUCCGGAUUCAUUGGGUUUAAAGGGUGCGUAGGCGGAGCGUUAAGUCAGUGGUGAAAUCCUGCAGCUUAACUGCAGACUUGCCAUUGAUACUGGCGCUCUUGAGUGCGCUUGAAGUGGGCGGAAUGUGCCGUGUAGCGGUGAAAUGCUUAGAUAUGGCACAGAACACCAAUUGCGAAGGCAGCUCACUAAGGCGAUACUGACGCUGAGGCACGAAAGCGUGGGGAUCGAACAGGAUUAGAAACCCGAGUAGUCC